CAAUAGCGUAUAUUAAAGUUGUUGCGGUUAAAAAGCUCGUAGUUGGAGUUCUGCCAGGUGCCGCCUGUCCGCCCCAGUGGUGAGUACGUGGCGCGCAUUUGGCCCUUUCAAGGGGAGCGUAUCUGCACUUUAUUGUGUGGUGCGGGAUCCUUGACUUUUACUUUGAGGAAAUAGGAGUGUUCCAAGCAGGCUCUCGUCGUGCACAGCUCAGCAUGGAAUAAUAGCAUUGGACCUCGAUUCUAAGCUGUUGGUUGCCAGAAGCGAGGUAAUGAUGAAGAGGGAUAGUUGGGGGCAUUCGUAUUUAACUGUCAGAGGUGAAAUUCUUGGAGUUGUUAAAGACGGACUACUGCGAAAGCAUCUGCCAUGGAUGUUUUCAUUGA
Molecule: ribosomal RNA, 380 nt
Filed under: uncultured eukaryote
Lineage: Eukaryota
Description: partial 18S ribosomal RNA
Rfam family: Eukaryotic small subunit ribosomal RNA
Source: RNAcentral